UACGAAGGGUGCGAGCGUUAUUCGGAAUCACUGGGCGUAAAGGGUGCGUAGACGGUGUGUUAAGUUUGUCGUUAAAGACUCUAGCCUAACUGGAGGGUUGCGAUGAAAACUAGCAUGCUAGAGGAUGAGAGAGAGAAGUGGAAUUCCCGGAGUAGCGGUAAAAUGCGUGGAUCUCGGGAGGAACACCAAUGGCGAAGGCAGCUUCUUGGCUCAUUCCUGACGUUGAGGCACGAAAGCGUGGGGAGCGAACAGG
RNAcentral lists this ribosomal RNA (253 nucleotides) under uncultured bacterium. RNAcentral describes it as "partial 16S ribosomal RNA". It matches the Rfam family "Bacterial small subunit ribosomal RNA", at positions 524 to 776 of the family's 1533-position model. The record is from RNAcentral.